UUGGAGGGCAAGUCUGGUGCCAGCAGCCGCGGUAAUUCCAGCUCCAAUAGCGUAUAUUAAAGUUGUUGCAGUUAAAAAGCUCGUAGUUGAAUUUCGGGAUUGACGUGAUGGUCAUGCCUUAAGGGGUAUGAACUGUCACAGUUGAUUUCUCACCUUCUGGAGAAACUUGAUGUCCUUUAUUGGGUGUCUUGCGGAUCCAGGACCUUUACCUUGAAAAAAUUAGAGUGUUUAAAGCAGGCAUUUUUGCUCGAAUACAUUAGCGUGGAAUAAUAGAAUAGGACGGCAUGGUUCUAUUUUGUUGGUUUCUAGGAUCACCGUAAUGAUUAAUAGGGAUAGUUGGGGGCAUUAGUAUUCAAUUGUCAGAGGUGAAAUUCUUGGAUUUAUUGAAGACUAACUACUGCGAAAGCAUUUGCCAAGGAUGUUUUCAUUAAUCAAGAACGAAAGUUAGGGGAUCGAAGACGAUCAGAUACCGUCGUAGUCUUAACCAUAAACUAUGCCGACUAGGAAUCAGACGAUGUUAAUUUUUUAAUGACACGUUUGGCACCUUACGGGAAACCAAAGUGUUUGGGUUC
RNAcentral lists this ribosomal RNA (572 nucleotides) under uncultured Glomeromycotina. RNAcentral describes it as "SSU rRNA". It matches the Rfam family "Eukaryotic small subunit ribosomal RNA", at positions 548 to 1114 of the family's 1831-position model. Lineage: Eukaryota; Fungi; Glomeromycota. The record is from RNAcentral.